This 514-nucleotide ribosomal RNA is filed under the name uncultured bacterium. Its description in RNAcentral is "bacterial SSU rRNA". It matches the Rfam family "Bacterial small subunit ribosomal RNA", at positions 9 to 517 of the family's 1533-position model. The record is from RNAcentral.
GAGUUUGAUCCUGGCUCAGAUUGAACGCUGGCGGCAGGCCUAACACAUGCAAGUCGAGCGGUAGAGAGAAGCUUGCUUCUCUUGAGAGCGGCGGACGGGUGAGUAAUGCCUAGGAAUCUGCCUGGUAGUGGGGGAUAACGCUCGGAAACGGACGCUAAUACCGCAUACGUCCUACGGGAGAAAGCAGGGGACCUUCGGGCCUUGCGCUAUCAGAUGAGCCUAGGUCGGAUUAGCUAGUUGGUGAGGUAAUGGCUCACCAAGGCGACGAUCCGUAACUGGUCUGAGAGGAUGAUCAGUCACACUGGAACUGAGACACGGUCCAGACUCCUACGGGAGGCAGCAGUGGGGAAUAUUGGACAAUGGGCGAAAGCCUGAUCCAGCCAUGCCGCGUGUGUGAAGAAGGUCUUCGGAUUGUAAAGCACUUUAAGUUGGGAGGAAGGGCAGUAAAUUAAUACUUUGCUGUUUUGACGUUUACCGACAGAAUAAGCACCGGCUAACUCUGUGCCAGCCGCCG